This 71-nucleotide transfer RNA is filed under the name Microtermes sp. A TB-2017. Its description in RNAcentral is "tRNA-Cys". Lineage: Eukaryota; Metazoa; Arthropoda; Insecta; Blattodea; Termitidae. The record is from RNAcentral.
GGCCUUGUAUUCAUUUUUUGUGAUUGUAGAAUGCAAUUCUGUAGGGGUGAGUUUGGUGCUUACCAAGGCCU